AUGAACGCUGGCGGCGUGCCUAAUACCUGCAAGUCGAGCGGACGGACGAGAAGCUUGCUUUUCUGAUGUUAGCGGCGGACGGGUGAGUAACACGUGGAUAACCUACCUAUAAGACUGGGAUAACUUCGGGAAACCGGAGCUAAUACCGGAUAAUAUUUUGAACCGCAUGGUUCAAAAGUGAAAGACGGCCUUGCUGUCACUUAUAAAUGGAUCCGCGCUGCAUUAGCUAGUUGGUAAGGUGACGGCUUACCAAGGCAACGAUGCAUAGCCGACCUGAGAGGGUGAUCGGCCACACUGGAACUGAGACACGGCCCAGACUCCUACGGGAGGCAGCAGUAGGGAAUCUUCCGCAAUGGGCGAAAGCCUGACGGAGCAACGCCGCGUGAGUGAUGAAGGUCUUCGGAUCGUAAAACUCUGUUAUUAGGGAAGAACAUAUGUGUAAGUAACUGUGCACAUCUUGACGGUACCUAAGCAGAAAGCCACGGCUAACUACGUG
This 496-nucleotide ribosomal RNA is filed under the name uncultured bacterium. RNAcentral's name for it is "partial 16S ribosomal RNA". It matches the Rfam family "Bacterial small subunit ribosomal RNA", at positions 29 to 507 of the family's 1533-position model. The record is from RNAcentral.